Molecule: non-coding RNA, 706 nt
Organism: Gasterosteus aculeatus aculeatus (three-spined stickleback)
Lineage: Eukaryota; Metazoa; Chordata; Actinopteri; Perciformes; Gasterosteidae
Source: RefSeq, a predicted model, not a curated record
GUAUAAAUACUGGUACCGGGUGUAGGAGUAGCACAGGUACUAAUACCAGGUGUAUAAAUACUGGUACCGGCUGUAGGAGUAGCACAGGUACUAAUACCAGGUGUAUAAAUACUGGUACCGGCUGUAGGAGUAGUACAGGUACUAAUACCAGGUGUAUAAAUACUGGUACCGGCUGUAGGAGUAGCACAGGUACUAAUACCAGGUGUAUAAAUACUGGUACCGGCUGUAGGAGUAGUACAGGUACUAAUACCAGGUGUAUAAAUACUGGUACCGGCUGUAGGAGUAGUACAGGUACUAAUACCAGGUGUAUAAAUACUGGUACCGGCUGUAGGAGUAGUACAGGUACUAAUACCAGGUGUAUAAAUACUGGUACCGGCUGUAGGAGUAGUACAGGUACUAAUACCAGGUGUAUAAAUACUGGUACCGGCUGUAGGAGUAGUACAGGUACUAAUACCAGGUGUAUAAAUACUGGUACCGGCUGUAGGAGUAGCACAGGUACUAAUACCAGGUGUAUAAAUACUGGUACCGGCUGUAGGAGUAGCACAGGUACUAAUACCAGGUGUAUAAAUACUGGUACCGGCUGUAGGAGUAGUACAGGCACUAAUACCAGGUGUAUAAAUACUGGUACCGGCUGUAGGAGUAGCACAGGUACUAAUACCAGGUGUAUAAAUACUGGUACCGGCUGUAGGAGUAGUACAGGCACUAA